Molecule: ribosomal RNA, 913 nt
Filed under: uncultured archaeon
Lineage: Archaea
Description: bacterial SSU rRNA
Rfam family: Archaeal small subunit ribosomal RNA
Source: RNAcentral
UCCGGUUGAUCCUGCCGGAGGUUACUGCUAUCGAGGUUCGACUAAGCCAUGCGAGUCGAAUGUAGCAAUACAUGGCGUACUGCUCAGUAACACGUGGAUAACCUACCCUUGAGACGGGGAUAAACCCGGGAAACUGGGUAUAAUACCCGAUAGAUCUCGACUGCUGGAAUGCAUCGAGCUUGAAAGCUCCGGCGCUCAAGGAUGGGUCUGCGGCCUAUCAGGUAGUAGUGGGUGUAGCGUACCUACUAGCCUACGACGGGUACGGGUUGUGAGAGCAAGAGCCCGGAGAUGGAUUCUGAGACACGAAUCCAGGCCCUACGGGGUGCAGCAGGCGCGAAAACUUUACAAUGCUGGAAACAGCGAUAAGGGGACCUCGAGUGCCAGGUUACAAAUCUGGCUGUCGUGAUGCCUAAAAAGCAUUGCAUAGCAAGGGCCGGGCAAGACCGGUGCCAGCCGCCGCGGUAACACCGGCGGCUCGAGUGGUAACCGUUAUUAUUGGGUCUAAAGGGUCUGUAGCCGGCCGGAUAAGUCUCUUGGGAAAUCUGGCAGCUUAACUGUCAGGCUUUCAGGAGAUACUGUCUGGCUCGAGGCCGGGAGAGGUGAGAGGUACUUCAGGGGUAGGGGUGAAAUCUUGUAAUCCUUGAAGGACCACCAGUGGCGAAGGCGUCUCACCAGAACGGACCUGACGGCAAGGGACGAAAGCUAGGGGCACGAACCGGAUUAGAUACCCGGGUAGUCCUAGCCGUAAACGAUACUCGCUAGGUGUCGGCAACGGUGCGACCGUUGUCGGUGCCGUAGGGAAGCCGUGAAGCGAGCCACCUGGGAAGUACGGCCGCAAGGCUGAAACUUAAAGGAAUUGGCGGGGGAGCACCACAACGGGUGGAGCUUGCGGUUUAAUUGGAUUCAACGCCGG